UCCAAUGAUGUCUGAGUAGUG
Molecule: non-coding RNA, 21 nt
Filed under: Arabidopsis thaliana (thale cress)
Lineage: Eukaryota; Viridiplantae; Streptophyta; Magnoliopsida; Brassicales; Brassicaceae
Source: RNAcentral